This 492-nucleotide ribosomal RNA is filed under the name uncultured bacterium. RNAcentral describes it as "partial 16S ribosomal RNA". It matches the Rfam family "Bacterial small subunit ribosomal RNA", at positions 29 to 507 of the family's 1533-position model. The record is from RNAcentral.
AGUGAACGCUGGCGGUAGGCCUAACACAUGCAAGUCGAACGGCAGCACAGUAAGAGCUUGCUCUUACGGGUGGCGAGUGGCGGACGGGUGAGGAAUACAUCGGAAUCUACUUUUUCGUGGGGGAUAACGUAGGGAAACUUACGCUAAUACCGCAUACGACCUACGGGUGAAAGCAGGGGAUCUUCGGACCUUGCGCGAUUGAAUGAGCCGAUGUCGGAUUAGCUAGUUGGCGGGGUAAAGGCCCACCAAGGCGACGAUCCGUAGCUGGUCUGAGAGGAUGAUCAGCCACACUGGAACUGAGACACGGACCAGACUCCUAAGGGAGGCAGCAGUGGGGAAUAUUGGACAAUGGGCGCAAGCCUGAUCCAGCCAUACCGCGUGGGUGAAGAAGGCCUUCGGGUUGUAAAGCCCUUUUGUUGGGAAAGAAAAGCAGCAGGUUAAUACCCCGCUGUUCUGACGGUACCCAAAGAAUAAGCACCGGCUAACUUCGUG